Molecule: ribosomal RNA, 465 nt
Filed under: uncultured bacterium
Lineage: Bacteria
Description: partial 16S ribosomal RNA
Rfam family: Bacterial small subunit ribosomal RNA
Source: RNAcentral
GAUGAACGCUGGCGGCGUGCUUAACACAUGCAAGUCGAACGGAAAGGCUCCUGCUUGCAGGGGUACUCGAGUGGCGAACGGGUGAGUAACACGUGGGUGACCUGCCCUGCACUUCGGGAUAAGCCUGGGAAACUGGGCCUAAUACCGGAUAGGACGACGGCUUGGAUGCCAUUGUGGAAAGUUUUCCGGUGUGGGAUGAGCUCGCGGCUUAUCAGCUUGUUGGUGGGGUAAUGGCCUACCAAGGCGUCGACGGGUAGCCGGCCUGAGAGGGUGUACGGCCAAAUUGGGACUGAGAUACGGCCCAGACUCCUACGGGAGGCAGCAGUGGGGAAUAUUGCACAAUGGGCGCAAGCCUGAUGCAGCAACGCCGCGUGGGGGAUGACGGCCUUCGGGUUGUAAACUCCUUUCGUCAGGGACGAAGCGAAAGUGACGGUACCUGGAUAAGAAGCACCGGCUAACUACGUG